CGUUUAUUUGAUGGUGCCUUACUACAUGGAUAACCGUGGUAAUUCUAGAGCUAAUACAUGCUAAAAACCCCGACUUCGGAAGGGGUGUGUUUAUUAGAUUAAAAACCAAUGCCCUUCGGGGCUCCCUGGUGAUUCAUGAUAACCUCUCGAACCGCAUGGCCUUGCGCCGGCGGUGGUUCAUUCAAAUUUCUGCCCUAUCAACUUUCGAUGGCUGGGUCUUGGCCAGCCAUGGUGACAACGGGUAACGGAGGGUUAGGGCUCGACCCCGGAGAAGAAGCAUGAGAAUCGGCUUCUACAUCCAAGGAAGGCAGCAGGCGCGCAAAUUACACAAUGGCAACUCGCCGAUGUAGUGACGAACAAUACCGAUGCAGGGCUCUUUUGGGUCUUGCAAUUGGAAUGAGUACAAUUUAAAUCCCUUAACGAGGAACAAUUGGAGGGCAAGUCUGGUGCCAGCAGCCGCGGUAAUUCCAGCUCCAAUAGCGUAUAUUAAAGUUGUUGCAGUUAAAAAGCUCGUAGUUGAACCUUGGGCCUGGCUGGCCGGUCCGCCUCACCGCGUGCACUGGUCCGGCCGGGUCUUUCCCUCUGGGGAACCGCAUGUCCUUCACUGGGCGUGCUGGGGAACCAGGACUUUUACUUUGAAAAAAUUAGAGUGUUCAAAGCAGGCCUAUGCUCGAAUACAUUAGCAUGGAAUAAUAGAAUAGGACGUGCGGUUCUAUUUUGUUGGUUUCUAGGACCGCCGUAAUGAUUAAUAGGGACAGUCGGGGGCAUCAGUAUUCAAUUGUCAGAGGUGAAAUUCUUGGAUCUAUUGAAGACUAACUACUGCGAAAGCAUUUGCCAAGGAUGUUUUCAUUAAUCAGGAACGAAAGUUAGGGGAUCGAAGACGAUCAGAUACCGUCGUAGUCUUAACCAUAAACUAUGCCGACUAGGGAUCGGACGAUGUUAUUUUUUGACUCGUUCGGCACCUUACACGAAAGUACAAGUUUCUGGGUUCUGGGGGGAGUAUGGUCGCAAGGCUGAAACUUAAAGAAAUUGACGGAAGGGCACCACCAGGAGUGGAGCCUGCGGCUUAAUUUGACUCAACACGGGGAAACUCACCAGGUCCAGACACGAUGAGGAUUGACAGAUUGAGAGCUCUUUCUUGAUUUCGUGGGUGGUGGUGCAUGGCCGUUCUUAGUUGGUGGAGUGAUUUGU
Molecule: ribosomal RNA, 1191 nt
Filed under: Myrmecridium schulzeri
Lineage: Eukaryota; Fungi; Ascomycota; Sordariomycetes; Myrmecridiales; Myrmecridiaceae
Description: SSU rRNA
Rfam family: Eukaryotic small subunit ribosomal RNA
Source: RNAcentral